GCGGAAAUAGCUCAGUUGGUAGAGCAUUAGCUUCCCAAGCUGAGCGUCGCGGGUUCGAGUUCCGUUUUCCGCU
This is a non-coding RNA of Bacteroidales bacterium 45-6, 73 nucleotides long. The record is from Rfam. NCBI's taxonomy places the organism in Bacteria, Pseudomonadati, Bacteroidota, Bacteroidia, Bacteroidales.